This 2926-nucleotide unclassified non-coding RNA is filed under the name Pomacea canaliculata. RNAcentral describes it as "uncharacterized LOC112569518, transcript variant X1". The record is from RNAcentral. Lineage: Eukaryota; Metazoa; Mollusca; Gastropoda; Architaenioglossa; Ampullariidae.
UGUAGGAUGGUUCACCAUAUCGUUUACUGUAAAGCCUCUCAGACACAUGUUUGAAUUGACUUCUCUUCUGUUGUUAUAUUUUGUGACCCACAACAUCCCUCGUGACCAUAUAUACUGUGAUUAUACAACAAACCGUUCCGUGAUCAAAAUGACACGUGUGACACAGAUGUAAGAAUGGAGGUGUCUGAUAGACAAACUAUAGGAAGCAUGCUAGCAUGUUGUGUGUGGACAAGCUGCAGUUUUCUUCUUCUGACUGGUGCAUGGAUGACAGAAGCUGAUGCAUUUGGAGUAGAACUGAAAUGUCCGGACUUGUUUCACAAUGGAGUGAACACUGUUAUCUGCAGAAUCAAUAAAACAGCAAUCAGAGAAGCACAUUGUUUCUCGAAGUACAAAUCGGUAACUUUUGGCUUGACCAUAAAUGACCGCACAACAGUUGCAUGUCUGUCUCAAGAUUAUGAUCCAGAUGCACAGUGCACUCCUCAGUAUGACCCAGGGAGUUGCAGGUGUCAGGAGUCAAAUGGAGAGAUUCUCACCUAUAAAUUUUUUUUCCUGGCUAACAGGACACUGGAUGAAGGGGGACAACUUGAGUGUAAACUCUGCAUUUUGCCAGAAAAGCCUCUGCCUAUUAAUAUUAGUAGGGGCUGUCGAAAUAUCAGCUUUGAUCCACCAGAAGAAGUGUCAUGUGAGGCAGUCUAUACCUUAGGGUCUGUCAACGUGUCCUGUGUCAUUGGCAAAGUCUAUUCCUCGCGUAGAAUUUACAAGUGUCGUCUGUUCCAACGUAAGAAUGAAUCAUCUACCAGCUUGCAGACUGUAGAAAUGGUGACCUCACCGACCAGUCAGAAGACCAUCAAGAGUGAAGUGAAGGUGUCGGGUUCCUGUCAGUUCAGCACAACUCUCUCUCCAGAGGAAGGAUGCUAUGAUCUUUUCGUCUCUGUCUCACCUAGCGGGCGGAACUACUCUGUGAAUUUUACAACCAGUGACUAUUGUACAACUACUGACCAGUCCAGUGUAUCGUCUCAGCAACCUGUCAUGGAGUCAGUGGAGGCAGCUGCUUUCAUAGUGCCUGCAAGUGUUUCUGGUAUCGUCGUCUUAGUCUUGAUCUUAGUCUUGAUCCUUGUCAUCAUUCGCCACGUGACAAGGAAGAAGAGAGAAGGUUAACAAUGUCCCUCCUUUUUGUCUAUUUGCUUUGUUACAAAUUAUAUUCCACACAACCUCAUUGUCUAUUGUUUCUAUGUUUGCCUGCACUUUUGUGUACUGUUGUUGUGUUGGUGCGACAUCAAUACCUGUAAUCGAUGUGUAUGUCAAACAUGGACAACCAUGUGUCGUCUUAUGUACGCCGCCUUUUACAAAGUACCUUACAUACUGAAAUAGUAUUGUGCCUGUAAAAGCAGAGACUUUGUUGUAAUCGCUGUUGUCAAAAUUGUUCAAACUUCAAAAUAGAUAUGCUUGCAUAAUCGCAAAAUGCAAAUUGGUUUGCAAGGAAGCGUCCGUCUCGGAGAAUCUCGCACGCAUGCGCAGUGGUUGCAUCAGGAGAGAAAUCUGAGUUUGAUCCCCAUCGUUGCUUACCUCUUUUGUGAAAGCUUUGUGCUAUUUUAAUUCACAAAUAGCCCACGGGUCACUAGCGAUUAUAACUUGGUAGAAGGCUCCCCAAGAACAGUUUUCACGAGAAAUACGGAACCUUGCCUGCAGUGGGCAGUAAACACAAAGAAAAAACACAUGGGACGACAAAAUUGUGGAUGACUUGAGCACGAUGGGAUUUGAUCAAAGAAAGGUGAGUGUAUGUAAAAUCAUGUAUUGAUAAUAAGUGUGAAAACAAUGUAUUAUAGGCCACUAAUCAAUUUCAAAGCUGAUGAGCAGAUAUUCCUAAGUGCAUUUGAAGAAGAUACAAGCAACUGCAGCUGAUAAACAUCACUAAGGCUGAAAAUUAAUUUCGUUUGUGUUAUCAACAUAUUGCUGGUUAUUUUGUUGAUUCUUCAUGAAAGCAUUUUUAAAUUGAGAAUUAUUGUAUUAUUUAAUUGUGUGCAGGCUGUAGCCUUGGAAAACCUGGCAUCUUUCUAAGAGAAGAAACACAGUGUCUUUAAAACAUAGCUUUUGGACAUCAUGUGUACUGGUUUUAUGUAAAAAUGUGGUCAGAUCAAAAUAUGGUACUAGCAUCACAUUCGCUUGUAAGUGCAACAAAAAUCACCUGCCACUCACAACCCUUUUCCCAGACGGUGCCACUUGGAAACCUUGUACUUGCAGCAGCAGACAUGUUCACUGCUUGCUCUCCCUACAGACUUGCCUCCAGACUAGCAAUGCCUGGUUUACUACCCCUACAUUCUAUUUACCUGUUCCCAGCAGUGGGUAAUGUUUGGAGGAGGUGUCAGGAAAGACUGUGCGGUGUAUUUUUCAGGCCGAACCGUAAAACUUGGAGGCGAUGGACGCUGUGACUCCCUUGGUCCAGGUGCAAAAUAUGACAGCUACACAUUCAUGCAUCAUCAGUUCUUUUAAGUGAGCUAGAGCAGCGGACAAUGCUAGAAGAAUUAGAAAAACAAGUGUCAUCUACAAGGCAUUGGAAUGCUGUCUCCUGGUGCUCAGACUGCAACCCUUGAGUUAUAUCAUGCUGCUGUGUGUUAGUUUACACCAAAGCUGAAUACUAUUUAUUUGUCUGGUGGAAGUUUUUUUUUAAGAUGGGAGUGUAUCUUACAAAGAUGCUUUCAUACCUCACCUUCACUGGACAUCAGUCUGAUGUGAAACGAUUUUUUAAGGAAAUCAAGAGAUGCUCAUGUGCACAAUUAUAUUCAUAGGAUCAGAAACAAAUUGAAAUGUAGCCCCCAAAAUUCAAAACGUAGUUUCAGAUCCUUGUGUGGCCGUAUUUUUUUACAUUUGAACUUCAAGCUAGAGUACCUAGAUACUAACCUUAGUACUAAAGGAAGUAUGGACUGAU